UUAUCGUUUAUUUGAUAGUACCUUACUACAUGGAUAACCGUGGUAAUUCUAGAGCUAAUACAUGCUAAAAACCUCGACUUCGGAAGGGGUGUAUUUAUUAGAUAAAAAACCAAUGCCCUUCGGGGCUCCUUGGUGAAUCAUAAUAACUUAACGAAUCGCAUGGCCUUGCGCCGGCGAUGGUUCAUUCAAAUUUCUGCCCUAUCAACUUUCGAUGGUAGGAUAGUGGCCUACCAUGGUAUCAACGGGUAACGGGGAAUUAGGGUUCGACUCCGGAGAGGGAGCCUGAGAAACGGCUACCACAUCCAAGGAAGGCAGCAGGCGCGCAAAUUACCCAAUCCCGACACGGGGAGGUAGUGACAAUAAAUACUGAUACAGGGCUCUUUUGGGUCUUGUAAUUGGAAUGAGUACAAUUUAAAUCCCUUAACGAGGAACAAUUGGAGGGCAAGUCUGGUGCCAGCAGCCGCGGUAAUUCCAGCUCCAAUAGCGUAUAUUAAAGUUGUUGCAGUUAAAAAGCUCGUAGUUGAACCUUGGGCCUGGCUGGCCGGUCCGCCUCACCGCGUGUACUGGUCCGGCCGGGCCUUUCCUUCUGGGGAACCUCAUGCCCUUCACUGGGCGUGUUGGGGAACCAGGACUUUUACUUUGAAAAAAUUAGAGUGUUCAAAGCAGGCCUUUGCUCGAAUACAUUAGCAUGGAAUAAUAGAAUAGGACGUGUGGUUCUAUUUUGUUGGUUUCUAGGACCGCCGUAAUGAUUAAUAGGGAUAGUCGGGGGCAUCAGUAUUCAAUCGUCAGAGGUGAAAUUCUUGGAUUGAUUGAAGACUAACUACUGCGAAAGCAUUUGCCAAGGAUGUUUUCAUUAAUCAGUGAACGAAAGUUAGGGGAUCGAAGACGAUCAGAUACCGUCGUAGUCUUAACCAUAAACUAUGCCGACUAGGGAUCGGACGGUGUUAGUAUUUUGACCCGUUCGGCACCUUACGAGAAAUCAAAGUUUUUGGGUUCUGGGGGGAGUAUGGUCGCAAGGCUGAAACUUAAAGAAAUUGACGGAAGGGCACCACCAGGCGUGGAGCCUGCGGCUUAAUUUGACUCAACACGGGGAAACUCACCAGGUCCAGACACAAUAAGGAUUGACAGAUUGAGAGCUCUUUCUUGAUUUUGUGGGUGGUGGUGCAUGGCCGUUCUUAGUUGGUGGAGUGAUUUGUCUGCUUAAUUGCGAUAACGAACGAGACCUUAACCUGCUAAAUAGCCAGGCCCGCUUUGGCGGGUCGCCGGCUUCUUAGAGGGACUAUCGGCUCAAGCCGAUGGAAGUUUGAGGCAAUAACAGGUCUGUGAUGCCCUUAGAUGUUCUGGGCCGCACGCGCGCUACACUGACAGAGCCAACGAGUUCAUUUCCUUAGCCGAAAGGUUUGGGUAAUCUUGUUAAACUCUGUCGUGCUGGGGAUAGAGCAUUGCAAUUAUUGCUCUUCAACGAGGAAUGCCUAGUAAGCGCAUGUCAUCAGCAUGCGUUGAUUACGUCCCUGCCCUUUGUACACACCGCCCGUCGCUACUACCGAUUGAAUGGCUCGGUGAGGCCUUCGGACUGGCCCAGGGAGGUCGGCAACGACCACCCAGGGCCGGAAAGUUGGUCAAACCCGGUCAUUUAGAGGAAGUAAAAGUCGUAACAAGGUCUCCGUAGGUGAACCUGCGGAGGGAUCAUUACAAGACAACGCCCGGGCUUCGGCCUGGUUUUGUUCAUAACCCUUUGUUGUCCGACUCUGUUGCCUCCGGGGCGACCCUGCCUUCGGGCGGGGGCUCCGGGUGGACACUUCAAACUCUUGCGUAACUUUGCAGUCUGAGUAAACUUAAUUAAUAAAUUAAAACUUUUAACAACGGAUCUCUUGGUUCUGGCAUCGAUGAAGAACGCAGCGAAAUGCGAUAAGUAAUGUGAAUUGCAGAAUUCAGUGAAUCAUCGAAUCUUUGAACGCACAUUGCGCCCCCUGGUAUUCCGGGGGGCAUGCCUGUUCGAGCGUCAUUUCACCACUCAAGCCUCGCUUGGUAUUGGGCAACGCGGUCCGCCGCGUGCCUCAAAUCGUCCGGCUGGGUCUUCUGUCCCCUAAGCGUUGUGGAAACUAUUCGCUAAAGGGUGUUCGGGAGGCUACGCCGUAAAACAACCCCAUUUCUAAGGUUGACCUCGGAUCAGGUAGGGAUACCCGCUGAACUUAAGCAUAUCAAUAAGCGGAGGAAAAGAAACCAACAGGGAUUGCUCUAGUAACGGCGAGUGAAGCAGCAAUAGCUCAAAUUUGAAAUCUGGCGUCUUCGACGUCCGAGUUGUAAUUUGUAGAGGAUGCUUCUGAGUGGCCACCGACCUAAGUUCCUUGGAACAGGACGUCAUAGAGGGUGAGAAUCCCGUAUGCGGUCGGAAAGGCGCUCUAUACGUAGCUCCUUCGACGAGUCGAGUUGUUUGGGAAUGCAGCUCUAAAUGGGAGGUAAAUUUCUUCUAAAGCUAAAUAUUGGCCAGAGACCGAUAGCGCACAAGUAGAGUGAUCGAAAGAUGAAAAGCACUUUGGAAAGAGAGUUAAAAAGCACGUGAAAUUGUUAAAAGGGAAGGGAUUGCAACCAGACUUGCUCGCGGUGUUCCGCCGGUCUUCUGACCGGUCUACUCGCCGCGUUGCAGGCCAGCAUCGUCUGGUGCCGCUGGAUAAGACUUGAGGAAUGUAGCUCCCUCGGGAGUGUUAUAGCCUCUUGUGAUGCAGCGAGCGCCGGGCGAGGUCCGCGCUUCGGCUAGGAUGCUGGCGUAAUGGUCGUAAUCCGCCCGUCUUGAAACACGGACCAAGGAGUCUAACAUCUAUGCGAGUGUUCGGGUGUCAAACCCCUACGCGUAAUGAAAGUGAACGGAGGUGAGAACCGCAAGGUGCAUCAUCGACCGAUCCUGAUGUCUUCGGAUGGAUUUGAGUAAGAGCAUAGCUGUUGGGACCCGAAAGAUGGUGAACUAUGCCUGAAUAGGGUGAAGCCAGAGGAAACUCUGGUGGAGGCUCGCAGCGGUUCUGACGUGCAAAUCGAUCGUCAAAUUU
Molecule: ribosomal RNA, 3044 nt
Filed under: Cladosporium herbarum
Lineage: Eukaryota; Fungi; Ascomycota; Dothideomycetes; Cladosporiales; Cladosporiaceae
Description: SSU rRNA
Rfam family: Eukaryotic small subunit ribosomal RNA (bases 1-1692)
Source: RNAcentral